Non-coding RNA from Lactuca sativa (garden lettuce), 2364 nucleotides. Lineage: Eukaryota; Viridiplantae; Streptophyta; Magnoliopsida; Asterales; Asteraceae. The record is from RefSeq and is a predicted model, not a curated record.
UUUUCUAGUAUGAAUUCUUUUAAUUAAUGAAGUAUCUUGUUAUUAAUAUAUAUAUAUUAAGAUUGUGAAAAAAAAGAACAUUAAACUGCCCAUAUAGUUGGCAGAAUUGGUCCCUUAAGUUUGAACAUCUGGCAGAUGUGUUUGAUUUGCAGGGGUUAUUUUGUAAAUUUUUCCCAUUCUUGUCAACGUGGCUGAAGGUUGUUAGUUUCUUUUUUUUUUAUGGAACGGACGUGUCAAUCUAAGGAUAUUUCUCUUUCUUUCUCAUCUUCUUUCUCCACCGUGUGGCUUUUAUCUCUGUUCCAAAUUCCAUCAACACUUCGAUCAUCUUGGUCUUGUCGAUGGUUCGCGCUGUGCUCAGCUCUCAUUUGGAACAUCAAGCUUUUUCCUCCGGCCCUGCGUAUCUGCUUCACUUCAUCUUAAUCAUUCCUCUUCUAGGUUUAUUGUGUAAGACCUAGAAAUUAUCCCGUUUCGUUUGUCGUCAACGAAGCCACUUUAAGCAUCAUAAUGCAAAGAUGAGGAUGAUGAAAGGAUAUUUCCCACUUUAUUGCCCCUACUACGGGAGUCCAUUCCAAGUGCAACAGAAGAUAUUGAAUCUGAAAUCGACAAUCAAAUGACAAAAAAAGCAUCCAAGGAUGAGUGCAUAUAUGAUUUGUAUGCUGUGAAAGAUGAUGAAGAUACAUCAGCCCCAUUUCCAGUAUAAGGAUUCAUCAUUUUUCUCUAUGGUUCCAUGAAUUACCUUUUUACCCUUGCCUCAUAUGGAACAUGUUGUUGGAUUUUCGUGUAGCUUCCAAGUCAAAUUUUAAUGGGAUUUAGCAUAUGGUUUGAUGGUUUUUUGAUAUUAGAUUUUUUGGUAGAAUUGUAUCUAUCAUGUGGAAGUAGCCGAUGAGAAACAAGCAUCAGAUCUAUUUCUCAACCAUAUCAAUUCAUAUAUAUCUUGAGAAAAUGAUCAUUAAAAUCAUAAGAAUUUUUGUGGUUUAAUCAUAUAAUCUCAUCAAGUAUACUCAACUCUAUUCUUAAUAAAAGUAAAAUAGAAGCUGGGAAGAUGGAGGUAGAAGAAAAAGAGUUUGAGUUGACAAAAGUAGUUUUUAUAAUUCCAUUACUAAAUGUUUCUUUUAUUUUUGGUUUUUCCUCUAAUUUAUGCUUACAAACAGUAACAACUUUUGAGCCAAGCGAAACAAUUUUUAUUUUAGUUGGCUGUUUUAUCUUGGUCUCCGUUGCUAUGUGUUUUUCUCUUGCUCCAUUUCUUUUCUGUCCAAUGGAUUUUUUCCAGUUUCUCAUUGUUCUUUACCGACAUUGAGGGUUUGUAAUUUGUAUUUUUGGAUCAGGUAAUUUUCAAUUUCAAAUUUAUGAUUGAUUUCAAGUAUUCAAUCAAGAAUUUGGUUAUGGGUUCCUGAGAGUCUUUGUAUUCAAGGUGUUUUUAUAACAUCUUCAUCUUCAUAUACAAAUCAGAUAUACGUUUUCAUUUAAAUUGAGAUGAAAUUUGUAUGCAGUCAUAACAGUUCCAUUUGAGUUCGUUCAACCUGGAGUUGUUUUCCGUGAAAGCAAACUACUUGGUAGAAAUUUACAAUUUUGAAUUUAAUGUAUGCUAUAUAGGUCUUUCAACAUGUUGGUAUGCGAUCUUUACCCUGCUUAGCAAUUAUAGCCUUGCAAAUUGGUGAACCUCUAUGAGAAAAAAAUGGAAAAUAUACAGCUGAAAAUGAAAUUAAGCAAGUGUUGGAUCACACGACAGAAUGAAUUUUGUUUUCAACAUUUUCUCCUUCUGAGACUAUGGGGGAGACGGAUGAUAUCAUGGAAGCUGUGAAGAUGGAAGCAGUUGAUUUGCUAAGAGUUAAUUUUUGAUGUUAAUGGAAAUGAUUCCAAUUGAGGAAGUUUAUGAAAAUUUGAGAUGUUCUAAAGACGGGUAAUCAUCAGAGGAUGCUGAAAAGAGAUUAGAAAUUUUUGGGUACAACUAACUUGAAGAGAAGAAGAGCAAGUUCUUGGAAGUUUUUAGUGUUCAUGUGGAAUCCUCUGUCAUGGGUUAUGAAAGUUGCAGCAAUUAUCGUUCUCCACUGCUUCAUCUUCAGGUAAGCUUUCGCAAUUGGCAGCAUACAUGUUUUUAUUAUAUAUAUAUUUUGAGGAUUAAUGGAACUGAUACAUGUUAAUCCCUAUAGCCACCACCACAACGGUUGCUGCAACAACAACUUUUAAGGCCUGUGUGACUAUUACUCAAUAUGUUACAUUAAAAAUUAGGUCUUUUCAAAUUAGACCCCUAAUAAGAAAAUAAAUAGAAAGUGAAACAUUGUUAUAGAAAGAAAUGGAGGUAAUAUGCUCUAUCUAAUAAACAUGUACAUAAUUUGAAAUGCUUAUGUGAUAUUAUUUCUUCUA